This 551-nucleotide ribosomal RNA is filed under the name uncultured Acaulospora. RNAcentral's name for it is "SSU rRNA". It matches the Rfam family "Eukaryotic small subunit ribosomal RNA", at positions 548 to 1098 of the family's 1831-position model. The record is from RNAcentral. Lineage: Eukaryota; Fungi; Glomeromycota; Glomeromycetes; Diversisporales; Acaulosporaceae.
UUGGAGGGCAAGUCUGGUGCCAGCAGCCGCGGUAACUCCAGCUCCAAUAGCGUAUAUUAAAGUUGUUGCAGUUAAAAAGCUCGUAGUUGAAUUUCGGAAUCUGUCCGUCGGUCGGGCUUCACUGUCCGUACUGGUGUGAUGGGUUUCUACCUUCUGAAUAAUCGGCAUGUCAUUAAUUUGGUGCGCCGGGGAAGCAGAGCUAUUACCUUGAAAAAAUUAGAGUGCUUAAAGCAGGCUAUCGCCUGAAUAGAUUAGCAUGGAAUAAUAAAAUAGGACGGCAUGGUUCUAUUUUGUUGGUUUCUAGGAUCACCGUAAUGAUUAAUAGGGAUAGUUGGGGGCAUUAGUAUUCAAUUGUCAGAGGUGAAAUUCUUGGAUUUAUUGAAGACUAACUUCUGCGAAAGCAUUUGCCAAGGAUGUUUUCAUUAAUCAAGAACGAAAGUUAGGGGAUCGAAGACGAUCAGAUACCGUCGUAGUCUUAACCAUAAACUAUGCCGACUAGGGAUCGGACGAUGUUAAUUUUUUAAUGACUCGUUCGGCGCCUUACGGGAAAC